CAUCUCUCAAGCGAAUAACGGACGCACCGCAAGCAAUUUCGACGAUCAAGAGGUUCCCAGUCUUCCAUUCGAUCUAGGGUUCGUUCACGAGGUUCCCAGUCUUGGGUUCGAUCAAGAGGAUCAUCUCUCGGCAUCCUCAGUUAUGAUUACUAUUCAUCCUCGGUAAUCCCAGUUAUUGGGGAGCUAGUAGCUGGUGAUCGAGAUUCUUACCAGUAUUUGGUCAAUAGUAUCCGACGAUUCCCCCCUCAGGAGAACUUUGCUCGUAUGAUUUCUGAUGCCGGAUUCCAGAAGGUCGAAUAUUAAAAUCUUGUUGGUGGAGUAAUCUCCAUCCACUCUGGAUUGAAAUUGUAGUAGCAUACUUCAGCUCCUUUGCAAUCAGAUGGAAAUGGGGACAUGUUUGGGCUUAUGCAUCUUUAUGAAUGUAGGCAGAUAUUGCCAUAUUUUUUAGCUUGAAUUUUCAAUUUAGAUGGCUUUUAAUGUGUACCAAUUAGCACACAAUCCUUUUUUGGACAUGUAUAAGGUGAGAUGUUUUUUCUUUUCCCUGAGUGUGUGUGUGUAAGAUGUAUAUGUAGGGUCAAAAAACUGAUGUUGGAUUGA
Molecule: long non-coding RNA, 597 nt
Organism: Asparagus officinalis (garden asparagus)
Lineage: Eukaryota; Viridiplantae; Streptophyta; Magnoliopsida; Asparagales; Asparagaceae
Exons: 3
Source: RefSeq, a predicted model, not a curated record